UACGGAGGGUGCUAGCGUUGUUCGGAAUCACUGGGCGUAAAGCGCGUGUAGGCGGUCCAUUAAGUCUGGUGUGAAAGCCCGGGGCUCACCUCCGGAAGUGCACUGGAAACUGAUGGACUGGAGUCCCGGAGAGGAGGGUAGAAUUCCUGGUGUAGCGGUGAAAUGCGUAGAUAUCAGGAGGAAUACCGGUGGCGAAGGCGGCCCUCUGGACGGUGACUGACGCUGAGACGCGAAAGCGUGGGGAGCAAACAGG
Molecule: ribosomal RNA, 253 nt
Filed under: uncultured bacterium
Lineage: Bacteria
Description: partial 16S ribosomal RNA
Rfam family: Bacterial small subunit ribosomal RNA
Source: RNAcentral